Molecule: RNA transcript, 1555 nt
Organism: Suricata suricatta (meerkat)
Lineage: Eukaryota; Metazoa; Chordata; Mammalia; Carnivora; Herpestidae
Gene: FOXB1
Gene name: forkhead box B1
Exons: 2
Source: RefSeq, a predicted model, not a curated record
GAGCGCACCGCCAGAAGCGCUGGGGACUGGUCGGCUCCGGGCGCUGCAGGGCUCAGCUGCGAAGCUCAGAGACUCGCGGAGCCCAGCCGAGACCAGACACUGCGCCCCGGCUGCGCAAAGAGAGGGACCCCAGAGCUGCAGUGCCAUCCCGGAUGCGGACGCACAACUUGGAGCAACUUUAAGGAGAACUUUGUUGUGGACCCAGGAGACAAAACACAAACUUGCAGAUGGCCUGGAGGCGCGUGGGAGCUGUCCUCGCCUCCACAAGAGGGGUAGGCUGGGGGCACCGGGGCCAAGCCUUCCGAUUCCCGGCCCCCCCCCCAACCCCCUCUCAUUUAAGAGGCAGGGGAAAUCCUGUCUCCCGCCUUCGCGGAGAGGAGCGCGUCUUCCCUCGGCCAGGAUCCGCGGGGCUCCGGACACUGCGCAGUCAGUUCCUAGACAAGAGAAACCGCCUCAGAGGUUUCCUCGAACAGAUCUCCCCUGAGGGCUACAGCCGCACAGCGGAGGGCCGGAUCUCGUUUACGUCUUGGAAAUCUGCCGGGGAAAGGGACCACUAAUCUUCCAACCCGACUCGCCUCCGCCCAUCCGGCAGGGGCUGGGCGGACCACAGCUUCCCGGAGUAGCGGCCCUGCCUCCCAGCUUCUGCGGAGUGUUUUCGUUUUUGUUUUGUUUUGUUUUGUUUUGUUUUGUUUUGUGUUUUGUUUCCUGCAGAAGCUCCAGGCACAGGGAGUUAGGGGAGAGGCUGCCAAACUGAGAAGGGGACACUUGUCCUCAACACAAGAAAAACAAAACUAAAAGUAACCUUGUAGUAUUGUUUACAAAGGCGCCCGGUAAAAUGUAAACAGUGAACUUGAAUCUGUAUUGCUUGGCGGGCGAGCGGGCAAAGCCCACUUUACAAGUACCUGUGGUAAUGUGAAUGUUUACUCUUCAUUUCUGGCCAGGUUAGGGGUGGGAAGGGGGGAUGGGAAAGUUAAUUGGAAUGUUGACUUUCCUGUUACUUAGAGACCUUUUAGCUAUUUAUUUUAUUGUUGGAAGGGGAAAAAAAAAAGAAAAUGAAAUAAGCCCAACUAAGAAAGCAUCAAGGGCAACCCUAGCAGAAUUUAGAUAGCUGACUGGUAACGUGAAGCAGAUGUCACCGGAUAGGUCUCCCAUGGACAAGUCUUUCUGUUUGCUACAAGAACUUUCCCAAGAAGCUAAAGGGCUGCAAAGAGAUGUAAAUGCUUGUGAAUAGGAAUGAUUAUACACUGUGUAAAAUGCACUUUUGUUUGCUAUAUUCCUUUAGAGUUCUUAGGUAAUUUGCUGGAAAACGAACUGUUGUUCUGGUGUGACCUGCUUAAGUUAAAAAAAAAAAGUUGUAGUUGUCAUAGGGCUGUAAAAUUUUUACCUUUCAUUUUUCUCCUUCCCUGUUCAGAAUUAGCAUGACAUUUUAAAAAUUGAUGUUCUUGUUCCCAGCAUGCCUGUUUUAAGACAAAGAAUUUUAAAAAGGUGUCUACAUUAAAUUAUGAAUCUAGUCCAAAUAAUAUUUUCUCAUUAAAAUACGUAAAUUCAAAUUUUA